Long non-coding RNA from Cyprinus carpio carpio, 877 nucleotides. Lineage: Eukaryota; Metazoa; Chordata; Actinopteri; Cypriniformes; Cyprinidae. The record is from Ensembl.
GUUAUGUAUUAUUCUAGCCUCCUUCACCUUUCUUCCUCUUCUUUUUUUGUUGAACAGACUUUCAUUUCUUCCACGACAACAUGAUGUGCUCAUCACGUGAACAUCUCUGCUGUUUGGACUCUCAUUCUGACGGCACCCAUUCACUGCAGAGCAUCCAUUGCUGAGACACUGAUGCAAUGCUACAUUUCUACAAACCUGAUGAACAAACAAACUCAUCCUGAUCUGGGAUGACCUGAGGAUCGAGAGUAGAAGCUUCACUGUGACCUGAACUCUGCAUCCCAUUUUCCUGUCCACAGCAUUGUUCAAAUGUUAAAACCACAAAACUUUCACUUUUGGCCUCUGACAAACCAAACGCUCUCUCUCUCUCUCUCUCUCUCUCUCUGUGUGUGUGUGUGUGUGUGUGUUUCUACAAGCGCUUACUCACCCUUAUUGUUCUAGAGCCUGACUAAGAAACACGGUCCUGUCUUACUGUUCGAGUAAAGACUUUGAGUCAUCCCUCAGACGCGUGUGUUCAUGUGUCUCUGUGCAUGUGAGACAGCCUUAUCAAGUCUAGGAUACUGAGGAGAAUGUAGUGUAAAUACAUGUUGACUGGGCUUUAUUGACAUUUGAGAUGGCAUGUGCCUCCCCCACCCACACGCUGAUAACCCGGUUACUAGCUGCCUAGCCGUCCGACUGAUGAGCUGUCUCUCAAAUGCACAUUCACACUUACUGAAAAUGAUUCAUCAUUCACCAAUUAGUGCCUUUACUUUUCUGUAACAGCAGCUUCUUAUCAACAACAAGAGACCACAAAAUAUCCUUUUGCAUACGGAGUGUGUGACUCUCUCUGAGUGUGUGCACCCAUACAAACAGAAUAAAAUAGAAUAGAAUAGAAUAAAAU